AUGUCGCGUCACACCACCAGACUCUGGCAUGUCGCGUCACACCACCAGACUCUGGCAUGUCACAUCACACCAUCACACUCUGGGUCACACCAACAUGCUCCGGCAUGUCACGUCACACCACCACACUCUGGCAUGUUACGUCACACCACCAAACUCUGCAAUGUCACGUCACACAAGCACACUUUAGCAUGUAACGUCACACCACUACACUCUGUGUCACACCACCACACAAAGGCAUGUCACAUCACACGACCACACUCUGGCAUGUCACGUCACACCACCACUCGCUGGGUCACUCCACCACACUCCAGCAUGUCAUGGCACACCACCACAUCACACUCUGGCAUGUCACGUUACACCACCACACUCUGUCAUGUCACGUCACAACACCACACUCUGGCAUGUCGUGUCACAACACCACACUCUGGCAUGUCGUGUCACACCAGCACACUCUGGCAUGUCGUGUCACACCAGCACACUCUGGCAUGUCGUGUCACACCACCAGACUCUGGCAUGUCGCGUCACACCACCAGACUCUGGCAUGUCGCGUCACACCACCAGACUCUGGCAUGUCACAUCACACCAUCACACUCUGGGUCACACCAACAUGCUCCGGCAUGUCACGUCACACCACCACACUCUGGCAUGUUACGUCACACCACCAAACUCUGCAAUGUCACGUCACACAAGCACACUUUAGCAUGUAACGUCACACCACUACACUCUGUGUCACACCACCACACAAAGGCAUGUCACAUCACACGACCACACUCUGGCAUGUCACGUCACACCACCACUCGCUGGGUCACUCCACCACACUCCAGCAUGUCAUGGCACACCACCACAUCACACUCUGGCAUGUCACGUUACACCACCACACUCUGUCAUGUCACGUCACAACACCACACUCUGGCAUGUCGUGUCACACCAGCACACUCUGGCAUGUCGUGUCACACCAGCACACUCUGGCAUGUCGUGUCACACCAGCACACUCUGGCAAGUCGCGUCACACCACCAGACUCUGGCAUGUCGCGUCACACCACCAGACUCUGGCAUGUCACAUCACACCAUCACACUCUGGGUCACACCAACAUGCUCCGGCAUGUCACGUCACACCACCACACUCUGGCAUGUUACGUCACACCACCAAACUCUGCAAUGUCACGUCACACAAGCACACUUUAG
Molecule: long non-coding RNA, 1185 nt
Filed under: Sparus aurata (gilthead seabream)
Lineage: Eukaryota; Metazoa; Chordata; Actinopteri; Spariformes; Sparidae
Description: lncRNA (ENSSAUG00010016388.1)
Source: RNAcentral